GAAGAAGCGGAAGAACAAGGGAGGUGCCUUCAUCUACGGAAACUACAGGAACUACUACGGCUACCGAGUGAGUUGAACCGCGCUUCUCCCCUCCACUCUGUGGCCUCUCUCUAACAAACGGUGAAUCGUCAUUGUGUUGUGCAUGCCGUGUAGUUAUUUGGUGAAAUGAUUUGCUGGAGAUUGCUAUGUUCCUGGGACUGGGAUGGUUUAUACGGACUAGGAUUCUUAGCUGAAAGCGGUGGAGCUUUUGCUUAGGACGCGCCCUAACUAUUUGAUGAAAUGCGCUAAUAGGUUUCUGCGUUGAUUUGUGUCUCAGAGCUUGCAGAACUUGAGUUUUGCAACGAGGGCCCGUGGUUCCUUUUUUUUUUGUAUUGAAUGGAAACUGGAGUGAGAUGAAUAUACUUGUUUUAUUUGAUUCUAGUUUGUGGUAGGCCAGCAUAUACGUUAUCUGUCGGGUAUUUUGGUGUUAAAUUGCCGCUUUUACGCCAUAGCAUUAGUUCAUCAUUUCAUUGGUUUAGACAAUCCAACCAUUGUGGUACUGUGUGUGACAUGGCUGUCGAAUUUCAGGGGCACAACAAUCACCACUGCUUUGAGCCUUUGACCCCAUAUUGGACAUGUAGUAUAAUUUCUGAUUAAUAAAUGCCCCAAGGUGUUGCUGUAAUGGCUAUUGGCCGAGAAGGAGUAAGCAAGCAUGGAGCCUAAUUGCACGUACUUGUUUUCACAGAUCUGCUUAUGCUAAAUUCACCUGUACAAAGGAGGCAGAUAGACGGAUAGAGGUCUAUUCAUUAGAUUGGACAUUUAAUUGUAUGCUGCACAUGAUAGUUCACUUAAUACGAUAAAAAGGCACUCGAUGGCUGGAUCAACUAAUCUUAGCUGAUAACUUCAAUCUUUUGAUGUUCAACAGAUUGAUCGUAACGUCGGUGAAGAUCCCCGCCUUGAGAUAUUCAAGAAGGAGUGGUUUGCAGGCAAGGAUUGUCUCGAUAUUGGAUGCAACCAAGGUUUGGUCACAAUCGGUAUAGGUAAUGUUCUGGGGAUAAUAAUUUGUUCUGUUUUGUUUGGUUAAUGAUCUUCCGGUCUUAUUCCCAUGUCUUUCAACUUCAAUGUUACUAGCAAUGUGCCCGUGCGUUGCAACGGAUCCAAAGUAGAAUAGUACUUGUUCACAAACUUGAAAGAAAAGACUCUUGUUUUGAUAUACAUAUAUACCACUAAAAAUAUAUUACUUUUCACUCAAAAUAUAUUUCUCGGGCUGUUUUGAUGAGGUGAGGGAGGGAUGUGAUUGCUUAUAAGAUAAUAAGGGAUUUUCUGCAAAUUGGAGCAGAGAAGUGGGCUAUUGUUGCAAAAAUUCCACAACUUACCUCACAGCCGUUAGGUGCAGAUCUAAUGGUCAGAAAUGACGGAUGACAGACACACCAUCAUCACCAACUGAGUCUUUUAUAGGAGUAGAGAUAGCUUUUGUUCUUGAAUUACCAGACUGCUGUUACUGUGCGGUUACAUGGUUUUAGUUUCUAUUGUUGAAUAUGAAAGUCUUAUCCAUAUUAACAUAAGCAUUAUUUAGCUAAUUAUUGUAAAUAUUCUUUGAUUUAUUCAUAUGGUUACGUUAGGAUAAGUUUAAUUGAGUAUGUGCCAUCUAUUGUAGGUUGCCACUUCUAAUACAGUUGAGACUACCCUACAUAAGCAUGUCAGCUACCUUUGUUAACCUAUUAUUAUUAUGGUCUGCAAUAGCAUAGUUUUCAUUUGACAACUCUUGACCGUACAAGAACUGAAUGCCAAUUAGCUGUAGCUGGACUUUUGAUUCAUUAUUCUGUGCAUUGAUGACUUAGUGACUCUUCUGACACUCAUUUGCUAGAAAUCAAUAAAUCACAAGUGACAUAUACAAUUUUUUUGGGGCAGAUGCCACAAUUGCAAGAGAGAGAUAUUGAAUGUUUUUCUCUAAAUAAAUUUCCUGUCAAACACAGUUUCUCAUCUCUAAUUUUCUUUACCUUGUGCAGCGAUGAAGUUUGAAUGUCAAAGCAUCCUUGGAGUUGACAUUGAUAAAGGUUUAAACUGUUAUUGUAAUAUUUAAUGAAGUAACAUUGUAUCAUACUGUUUGUUUUAAGAGCAUGAAGUACCUGGUAGCUGGAAUCUUUCAAAAAACAAUCUGAAUAUCUGAUUGAUGCUUGUCUCUCAGCAGCCUUUAUGUACAUUUUGUGUUUUUAUAUAUAUAAUGUUGCGCACUGAGAGCAUUAAUGCUCAUUUCUGAACAAUAUUAAGAAAAUCCAGUCCUGUUUGACCAGUUAUUGCAUAUCCCAGCUCAGUGUUGUUAGUAGUUCGUAAUUAUUGUAUUGACACAAUGCUUGUGAGGCAUGUUGUGGUUGCAAGUCUAAAGAAGUAGAAUUUGGUGGGACAUUUUUUUAAAUGGCAUAACAUCCUUGCUGAUGCCCACACCUUCCUGUUCACAAAUUCAAUGUUUUUCUAUUGAUAACUGAACCUAUCUUGAAAUUAUGAAACUCUAUAUGAGAUUUAUAAUGUUAAUUUGUUCCUUAGCAGAAUGUGCAUUUAUGACAGUCAGACUUGGAUUUCUGUAAUUUUCUGUCGUUAGAUGCAUGGUCCGUAAUUAAGUAAUAGUGUUUGACAGAUUACCAAUAAAUAUCAUCAACCAUAACUGAAUAGUCCCUUGUAGUUACGUAAUGUUUGUGUGUUCUUGGCUUGCCCAAUGUAGUAUGGUUGGCUGUGUUGGGUUUGUCAAAUGAAACUGAUUCUGAUAUUAACCUUGUAGGUUUGAUUGACCUUGCUAACUGGAAUUUAAGAAGGAUAUCUCGAACAGGCAACAUGGCUCCAGAAAGUGCGAAGGUUCAUAACUCGUCAGACUCCACAACUAAGAGCUAUCCUGAAGAAGUGGUAUCUGAAAUGCCAAAUGGAAAUAUUUCUAAGCACGAACAACCUGAUCUUUUUGAAAUCGUCUCUUUUCGAUCUGAAAAUUUUGUACAGAGCAAACACAAAUAUGCAGAACAGUAUGACACCAUCGUGUGGUAAGUUGCAAAUUUACAAGCGAGACAUAUCAGAGAUUUUUUGGUUUAUUUGUAUUAGUCACUAUCCAAAUUGAAUGUCAUCUUGAUUGGUUGUGCUUUUGUUCUCUUGCAGUUUGAGCGUGACAAAAUGGAUCCACCUGAACUGGGGUGAUGAUGGCAUAAUCACUUUGUUUGUGAAGAUAUGGAGUCUUCUAAGACCGGUAUCUAUUUCUCUUUUGCUGUCCCUAAAUUGGAUCUCUGUGGUAAGAGGAAAAACUAACAAUACCUUGUCUUCUUUCCGCUGGCUUCUCUUGUUUUGCAGGGAGGGAUUUUUAUCAUGGAGCCUCAACCUUGGACCUCGUAUAGGAAAAACAGAUUAGUGUCAGAGGUAAUUUCUGAUUGUCAGACUGAUGACUGAUGCUACAUGUUUUGUUUUUAGCUUUAGAUGGUAGUUUCAACUUUAGAGCUCUAACUCUGUGAAGGCCUGAAGGGUAGCCAUGAGUAUGUUGCAUUGAACUGUUCUUUUGGUCCCUUGCUUGUUUCAAAGCUAGAUGUACUCCUUGGUUUGAAUUGCUUCCUCGUCUUUCCUCAUUUAUGUGCUUUUCUUUCUGAAAUAAUCUUUCAUCAUUUUCGUUGGGGUCUUACUCUCACCCAACCUGCUUUUGUUUCCCCUGAUCACACAAUCUUAUGCCUCUUAGAGUGAGUAGUAACAAAAAUCCUGAUCCAUCGUUGAAACAAUUAUUUCUUCUCAAUCUUUCAUGGGGUGAAGUUAACUCACAUUGUCCUGUCCUUUUUUUCUGGUGGAUUUCAGUUUGCAAAAGAAAACUUCAAAUAUAUCUGUAUAUACCCUGAGAAAUUCCGGGAGGUACUUCUGGACAAGGUGCGUUCUAUACCGGCAACUAAUGCUAUGUUCUUUUCCAGUUCCCUGCAGCAGAAUCAUUGUAAACCAUGCAGUUGUGCUUGCAGGUAGGAUUUAGGUCAGCAGAGGUGAUUACCAACAGAUUGGUCGGAUCUGUCGCUGGUUUUGACCGCCCAAUUGAAGUUUACUACAAAUGAUGGAAUGAGAUUAACGCCUGCCUCUUGCUCAGAGGCUCAUGUGGUGCUUCGGGUGCAUAAGUUUGGUGCUGUGGGAUUCGUCGUGCUUCACCGGUGCCUUCUUUGGUACAAAUAUGAUGAUCAAGGUUUUCACAUAACGCUGGAUUAGCAGUUUGUGGAAGUGUCAUUUUCAACAAGCGCCCAAGGAAUGAUAUGGAUAGGGUGGUGGUGGUAUUAGGUACUUUUCGAUAUUUUGCCAGAGUCUAAGCGUUUGUAUAGAUGAAUUUUAGAUGGCAGAGAAAACCUUCCAGUGAUAUAAGAUUUCGCUUCCUAUGAACAGGCUAGUUUUCUCGCGCUCUUACAAUUGCAACCGCUUUAUCGUAUAUAUAAACCGGCAAAUCUUGGUUCGAUUAGAUCAGCUUUCAGAC
This 4450-nucleotide long non-coding RNA is filed under the name Triticum aestivum (bread wheat). RNAcentral's name for it is "long non-coding RNA (TAES_LNC016036)". The record is from RNAcentral. Lineage: Eukaryota; Viridiplantae; Streptophyta; Magnoliopsida; Poales; Poaceae.